Molecule: ribosomal RNA, 409 nt
Filed under: uncultured bacterium
Lineage: Bacteria
Description: bacterial SSU rRNA
Rfam family: Bacterial small subunit ribosomal RNA
Source: RNAcentral
AAUCAACGCUGGCGGCGUGCCUAACACAUGCAAGUCGAGCGGGAAAGGGGGCUUCGGCCCCUGAGUAUAGCGGCGGACGGGUGAGUAACACGUGGGUAAUUUGCCCUUGGGUGUGGAAUAACUCAGGGAAACUUGAGCUAAUACCGCAUGACAUCCCCUUCACACACGAGUCGGGGAUCAAAGCCGGGGACCCUUCGGGGCCUGGCGCCUGAGGAGAAGCCCGCGCCCGAUUAGCUAGUUGGNGAGGUAAUGGCUCACCAAGGCUUCGAUCGGUAGCCGGCCUGAGAGGGCGGACGGCCACACUGGGACUGAGACACGGCCCAGACUCCUACGGGAGGCAGCAGGUGGGGUAAUUUUGUCAAUAGGGGGAAACCCUGAACAAGCAACGCCGCGUGGAGGACGACGACCU